CUCCCAAAGUGCUGUGAUUAUAGGCCACCUGACAGUGAAAAGAGCAAUUUGAAGAAAAACAAAAUUUAUCUUCAAUGUGAAAAGCAAUUUAUAAAAAUCCGAAUACUUGCCAGGAGCAACUUGACAAAAAAGACAAAGGUGGUAGAAGAAAUGUAACCAGCCCACAAUUCCAAUGUUGAUAACAGAUGAGCUCCCUUUCAAGGUGACUGACAUUUACACAAGUACACAGAGCAAGAAGAAGGUCUGAGUGAACUGCCAAGCAUUUUAACUUCUCCUGAGACCAAGUACAUCAACAGUUCUCUUGGAAAAGAACAACUGAUUUGGGAGUCUAGCAGACUGCCAGCUGCAAGACAUUCAUCCAGCAUCAGGAACACAAUGGGCCUUCAUUUGCCUGCCUUUCUGAGGGCACCAAUCAAAAGUAACAGCUGCCACCUUUUUCUAUGAGACUUGAUUAUAAUUUUCUAUGGCCAAGGGUUUGCUGUGACACUUCCACAUCAUUCUUCAGUAUGUAGUCCAGAGAUUAGCUACAGAUUCAAGAAACACAGACUGUAAACUAUUAUAUACAGACAUAUCUCAAAAUAAGCAUACCCAUUAGUGCCAGCUGCCCUGAAAGACUGAAUGACCCCAGCUAUUUUCCAAAUGUUUUUUCAGAAAGCCAUGAACACACCUUUCUGGGAUCCUAUCUAUUUCAAAGACAGGCAAAGCUCUGUGGUUCAGUUCCACCACCCAGUACCAAGCCCACAGUAUGCAGACCAUACGCCUUACACAUGGCCUUUUCUCUUUAUGUAAUUGCUGUACCAUAUUCAGCAGAUCUAGACUGACUCAAAGCAUGUUCCCUCAAGAAGCUCCACAGAAAAAAAGGUUUCUGUGAUCAAAAAUCAUUUGGGAAAUGCUGCAAACCCUAUCUGCCUCUUAGAGCUUAACCAUGCAUGUCGGGGCAUAAUAUAAACCUUUUCCAGUCUGGGCCACAGAGUGAGACCCCACCUCUAAAAUAAUAAAUCAAUAAACUCUUGAGAAGUACACAGAAAAGAAACUUCUGUAACUUUUUAGGUCUUAAUUACAAGCAAUUGUAGCUUAA
Molecule: long non-coding RNA, 1078 nt
Filed under: Homo sapiens (human)
Lineage: Eukaryota; Metazoa; Chordata; Mammalia; Primates; Hominidae
Description: HSALNT0348492
Source: RNAcentral